GAUGAAGAACGCAGCGAAAUGCGAUAAGUAAUGUGAAUUGCAGAAUUCAGUGAAUCAUCGAAUCUUUGAACGCACAUUGCGCCCGCCAGUAUUCUGGCGGGCAUGCCUGUUCGAGCGUCAUUUCAACCAUCAAGCCCCAGGCUUGUGUUGGGGACCUGCGGCUGCCGCAGGCCCUGAAAACCAGUGGCGGGCUCGCUGUCACACCGGGCGUAGUAGAUUUUAUCUCGCUCAGGGCGUGCUGCGGGUUCCGGCCGUUAAAAAGCCUUUUUUACCCAAGGUUGACCCCGGAUCAGGUAGGAAGACCCGCUGAACUUAAGCAUAUCAAUAAGCGGAGGA
This 336-nucleotide unclassified non-coding RNA is filed under the name soil metagenome. RNAcentral's name for it is "partial contains 5.8S ribosomal RNA, internal transcribed spacer 2, and large subunit ribosomal RNA". The stretch from base 1 to 120 matches the Rfam family "5.8S ribosomal RNA", at positions 35 to 154 of the family's 154-position model. The record is from RNAcentral.